RNAcentral lists this non-coding RNA (21 nucleotides) under Rattus norvegicus (Norway rat). The record is from RNAcentral. Lineage: Eukaryota; Metazoa; Chordata; Mammalia; Rodentia; Muridae.
UGAAUCUGUUAUGGAGAUGGU